RNAcentral lists this ribosomal RNA (550 nucleotides) under uncultured Glomeromycotina. RNAcentral describes it as "SSU rRNA". It matches the Rfam family "Eukaryotic small subunit ribosomal RNA", at positions 548 to 1098 of the family's 1831-position model. The record is from RNAcentral. Lineage: Eukaryota; Fungi; Glomeromycota.
UUGGAGGGCAGUCUGGUGCCAGCAGCCGCGGUAAUUCCAGCUCCAAUAGCGUAUAUUAAAGUUGUUGCAGUUAAAAAGCUCGUAGUUGAACUUCGGGGUUUACCCAUUGGUCAGGCUUAAUUGUCUGCACUGGUGAGAUGAAUCUCUACCUUCUGAGGAACUUUCAUGCCAUUUAUUUGGUGUGAUGGGAAAUCAGGACUGUUACUUAGAAAAAAUUAGAGUGUUUAAAGCAGGCUAACGUCUGAAUACAUUAGCAUGGAAUAAUGAAAUAGGACGGACUGAUUCUAUUUCGUUGGUUUCUAGGAUCACCGUAAUGAUUAAUAGGGAUAGUUGGGGGCAUUAGUAUUCAAUUGUCAGAGGUGAAAUUCUUGGAUUUAUUGAAGACUAACUACUGCGAAAGCAUUUGCCAAGGAUGUUUUCAUUAAUCAAGAACGAAAGUUAGGGGAUCGAAGACGAUCAGAUACCGUCGUAGUCUUAACCAUAAACUAUGCCGACUAGGGAUCGGACGAAGUUAAUUUUAUAAUGACGCGUUCGGCGCCUUACGGGAAAC